This 1514-nucleotide unclassified non-coding RNA is filed under the name Gigantopelta aegis. RNAcentral's name for it is "folylpolyglutamate synthase, mitochondrial-like, transcript variant X1". Lineage: Eukaryota; Metazoa; Mollusca; Gastropoda; Neomphalida; Peltospiridae. The record is from RNAcentral.
UGGAUAUCCGUGUAGUUUAAUUAGUUAUACUAAUUGAAGGCUCAUGGAUUCGGUGCUUAAAGCAGAAAAACCUGGUUGUGGAUCAUUUUCGUACCAGGAUGCCGUCUCUAUUGUGAAAAGUCUUAAAACAGAUAUCGUGACAGAUAAAGUAGCAGUUAGACAACACAAUAUUCCAUUCAUGAUGAAGACGCUCAGAUGUUGUGACAUAACGCUGGAAGAUAUUGAUAGGCUGCCAAUUAUUCACAUCACUGGAACAAAGGGGAAGGGAUCGACAUCGGCAUUUUGUGAAAGUAUUCUCAGACACAGCGGGUACAAGACAGGAUUUUUCAGCUCUCCUUCCCUGGUCAAAUUGAACGAGAGGUUUCGUAUCAACGGUCAGCCUCUAUCUGACGAAGACUUCUGCUCUUACUUCUUCGACGUUUACAACAAAAUAGAACCCAUAUUGAAAGACAUGCAAGACAGAAAAAUUCCAGUGCUCUUUUGUUUUUUCACAACCAUGGCUUUCACCGUGUUCAUUAAAGAAAAAGUCGAUGUAGCUGUGAUGGAAGUUGGUAUUGGUGGACAGUUAGAUUGCACGAACGUCAUUCGAUCCCCCGUUGUCUGUGGAGUUACUUCUCUUGGAUUGGACCACGUUGAUAAGCUAGGCGACACGAUAGAAAAAAUAGCGUGGCAUAAAGCUGGGAUUUUUAAGAAGGGAGUUCCCGCUCUGACUGUCAGUCAGCCACCAGAAGCCAACGCCGUUCUCUUGGAGCGAUCACAGGAGAUUGGGGCACCUCUGUACAGUGUUCCAACCCUAUACGAGUUCUGUGCCGCUGGUCAACAGAUUCGUUUGGGUAUUGAGGGAAAUGUUCAUUUCGUGAACGCAGGACUCGCUCUACAGCUGUGUCGGGUAUUUCUACACAGAACUAACAAAGAAAAUCAGUAUGUCUAUGAUGUGUUGUCUGUAUCCAGUGUGAAGGACAUUCCUAUGUUACCUGUUUAUCAACUCAGCCCUGAAGAAACUGAAGGACUGGCCAGGUGUUCGUGGCCCGGCAGGGCUCAGACGAUCUAUCGCCCUCGACUCACCUACUACUUGGACGGAGCUCACACCAAGGAGAGCAUGCAGCAAUGUGUUGAGUGGUUCUCGGAUAAAUCAGAGAAGGAGGCAGCUACUAUUAAAGGACGAGUCCACAAGGUUCUCUUGUUUACCCUUAGCGGGUGUAGGAGUAUCUCUAGUAUGCUUUCCAUCCUGAAGGUAAUCAAUUUUGGUGAAGUUGUGUUCUGUCCCGGCGUGGAUUUAUACAAGUUACAUGAGAAAUCGUCAGCCCAAAUAUUGAGUACAUAAUUGGCCUUUCUUGCUGGGUUGGUGUUGCUGUUUGUCUCUGUGGAGAGAUGAAAACAAAUUGCUCAAAGCAACGAACUAUUAGUGAACGCCUGUGAGGAGAUCAAGAUGAGAUGGGACAGUCUAUGUGGGGACUGCCCUAAAGAUGACUGCGUCAUUAAUUGUGAUUUUCCUUCAACACAGACCAGUGUCC